GAUGAACGCUGGCGGCGUGCCUAAUACAUGCAAGUCGAGCGAACGGACGAGAAGCUUGCUUCUCUGAUGUUAGCGGCGGACGGGUGAGUAACACGUGGAUAACCUACCUAUAAGACUGGGAUAACUUCGGGAAACCGGAGCUAAUACCGGAUAAUAUUUUGAACCGCAUGGUUCAAAAGUGAAAGACGGUCUUGCUGUCACUUAUAGAUGGAUCCGCGCUGCAUUAGCUAGUUGGUAAGGUAACGGCUUACCAAGGCAACGAUGCAUAGCCGACCUGAGAGGGUGAUCGGCCACACUGGAACGGGGACACGGUCCAGACUCCUACGGGAGGCAGCAGUCGGGAAUCUUCCGCAAUGGGCGGAAGCCUGACGGAGCAACGCCGCGUGAGUGAUGAAGAUCUUCGGAGCGUAAAACUCUGUUAUUAGGGAAGAACAUAUGUGUAAGUAACUGUGCACAUCUUGACGGUACCUAAUCAAGAAGCCACGGCUAACUACGUG
This 497-nucleotide ribosomal RNA is filed under the name uncultured bacterium. RNAcentral's name for it is "partial 16S ribosomal RNA". It matches the Rfam family "Bacterial small subunit ribosomal RNA", at positions 28 to 507 of the family's 1533-position model. The record is from RNAcentral.